RNAcentral lists this ribosomal RNA (253 nucleotides) under uncultured bacterium. RNAcentral's name for it is "partial 16S ribosomal RNA". It matches the Rfam family "Bacterial small subunit ribosomal RNA", at positions 524 to 776 of the family's 1533-position model. The record is from RNAcentral.
UACGAAGGUGGCUAGCGUUGCUCGGAAUCACUGGGCGUAAAGCGCACGUAGGCGGAUUGCUAAGUCAGGGGUGAAAUCCUGGAGCUCAACUCCAGAACUGCCUUUGAUACUGGCGAUCUCGAGUCCGGGAGAGGUGAGUGGAACUGCGAGUGUAGAGGUGAAAUUCGUAGAUAUUCGCAAGAACACCAGUGGCGAAGGCGGCUCACUGGCCCGGUACUGACGCUGAGGUGCGAAAGCGUGGGGAGCAAACAGG